CCUACGGGAGGCUGCAGUGAGGAAUAUUGGUCAAUGGACGCAAGUCUGAACCAGCCAUGCCGCGUGCAGGAAGACGGCUCUAUGAGUUGUAAACUGCUUUUGUACGGGGGAAAACGCAGAUACGCGAAUCUGUCUGAAAUUACCGUACGUAUAAGGAUCGGCUAACCCCGUGCCAGCAGCCGCGCUGAUACGGAGGAUUCAAGCGUUGAUCGGAUUGGUUGGGUUUAAAGGGUGCGUAGGCGGUCGGAUAAGUUAGGGGGGAAAUCCCCGGGCUCAACUUCGGAAUUGCCUUGGAUACGGUUCGGCUAGAGAGUAGUUGCGGUAGGCGGAAUGUAUGGUGUAGCGGUGAAAUGCGUAGAGAUC
Molecule: ribosomal RNA, 363 nt
Filed under: uncultured bacterium
Lineage: Bacteria
Description: partial 16S ribosomal RNA
Rfam family: Bacterial small subunit ribosomal RNA
Source: RNAcentral